Molecule: ribosomal RNA, 1305 nt
Filed under: Triticum aestivum (bread wheat)
Lineage: Eukaryota; Viridiplantae; Streptophyta; Magnoliopsida; Poales; Poaceae
Description: partial small subunit ribosomal RNA
Source: RNAcentral
AUGUCGUCCUCCCCUACCCCCGCGCCAGACGCCGGCGCCGCCGCGAUGGCCGUCGACGACUCGUCGGAGACCGACCAGCUCGACUCCAUGUCCACGGAGGACAUCGUCCGGGCCACCCGCCUCCUCGACAACGAGGUCCGCGUCCUCAAGGACGAGCUGCAGCGGAACAACCUGGAGCUCGAGAACGUCAAGGACAAGAUCAAGGAGAACCAGGAGAAGAUAAAGCUCAACAAGCAGCUGCCCUACCUCGUCGGCAACAUCGUCGAGAUUUUGGAAAUGAACCCUGAAGAUGAGGCUGAAGAGGAUGGUGCUAAUAUAGAUCUGGACUCACAGAGGAAAGGAAAAUGUGUUGUUCUUAAGACAUCCACAAGACAGACUAUAUUCCUUCCUGUGAUCGGGCUAGUUGACCCUGACAACCUCAAGCCUGGUGAUUUGGUUGGAGUCAACAAGGACAGCUACUUGAUAUUAGACACGCUACCUUCGGAGUAUGACUCUCGAGUAAAGGCAAUGGAGGUAGAUGAAAAGCCUACGGAGGAUUAUAAUGACAUUGGCGGCCUUGAGAAAGAGAUUCAGGAACUCGUUGAAGCUAUAGUGUUGCCAAUGACACACAAGGAGCAAUUUCAGAAGUUGGGAAUCCGUCCCCCGAAAGGAGUUCUUUUAUAUGGAUCACCUGGGACGGGAAAGACGUUGAUGGCUCGUGCAUGUGCUGCACAAACCAAUGCAACCUUUCUGAAACUUGCUGGUCCGCAGCUAGUCCAGAUGUUCAUCGGUGAUGGGGCAAAGCUUGUCCGAGAUGCCUUUGAGUUGGCAAAGGAGAAGGCCCCCUGCAUCAUUUUUAUUGAUGAGAUUGAUGCAAUUGGAACAAAGCGUUUUGACAGUGAAGUGAGUGGUGACAGAGAAGUGCAACGAACUAUGUUGGAGUUGCUGAAUCAGCUAGAUGGAUUUAGCAGUGAUGAGAGGAUAAAGGUGAUAGCUGCAACCAAUCGUGCAGAUAUUCUCGAUCCUGCUUUACUCCGUUCUGGUCGCCUGGACAGAAAGAUUGAGUUCCCUCAUCCGACGGAAGAAGCAAGAGCUCGGAUUUUGCAAAUUCACUCAAGAAAGAUGAACGUACAUCCUGAUGUCAACUUUGAGGAGCUGGCUCGUUCAACUGAUGAUUUCAACGGUGCACAACUGAAGGCUGUUUGUGUGGAAGCUGGCAUGCUUGCUCUACGCAGGGACGCUACAGAGGUGAUCCAUGAAGAUUUCAACGAAGGCAUUAUCCAAGUGCAAGCAAAGAAGAAGUCCAGCUUGAAUUAUUACGCUUAG